GGAGAGGAGUCCUGAUGGGGAAGCAACAACAACACUGCUGUGAAGAGCUGGUGUGAGAAAACCAGCUAGAGAAGGAUGUGAGGAAGGCAAGGUGUUAUACUGACAGCUCCUACUUGUUAAAAUGCAUCUAGGAUACUUCCAGAGGAAAAAAAAAAUGGGAGGAGGGCACAGUAACAGCUUCUCCAUGCUCCCCCACUCCCUGACCCCAGGGCUGGGAAAAAAAGACUUUCUACUACCUUGGGAGCCAUUUCAGCAACAACAAAACCAGAAAGCAGCAGGCACGAGGCAAGAGGGAGAGUUAACCCCAGCACACAGGGGCCUGUGCCAGAGACCAGGAGGAGGAGCAGGAGAUGGUGGUGGUGGUUUCAGCUGCACACUCACACCACCUGGGCAUGGACACCAGGGCAGCAAAGCCAGAGGACAUCAAAGCUCAAUCCAAGCCAGUGGCCCCUGUGGCUUCCCCACACAAUGGGAAGGAGCUGCACUGCUGGGACAUCAGCUUUGUGGAGAGCAGCACAAACAUGCAGCACCCCCUCAUCUCCAACAUUAUUGCCCUGGAUACUAGGCUUGGGGAGUGCCAACAAUCAUUAGGCAUGCAGGAUUGUCACAAGCCAGCGCCAAAAGGUGGGAGCAGCAAGCUGGAAGUUGUGUUGGUUUGUUUUGAAAAGGCCAGGGAAAGCUGGGCACUCUGUCUCUGCAGGUUUAAGGCUGCACUCUGAACCUGCUGGGGGCGAAAGGCUAACAGGAUCUGAAAACCUGCUUUCUUUACCUCCAAGGACUGGAUCUUGGUGCCCUGAAGCACACUGGAAAAGAGUAGGGCAUAUUGUCCCUGCUCUGAAUCAGGUCGAGGUUCCCAAUACUCAACCAGCAAUCAGAAAGGGAAAAGCCAUGAAAUCUGUUUGUCAAGCCUUUAGCUGUGUCCUCUGCAGCAUUUCUGACCUAAAACACAUUCAGUUAUCUGAGGCAGAACUCAGAAGAGGCAUCUCAUACUCUCCUUUCGGUGAAACAGUUGGAUCCACAAAGCUCCGUGCAAGGCUCACCCUUGUAAAUGGGGAGGAACAGAGAGAUUUCAAAUGAAGAGUCAUUUUACUUUGUAAAUGGCCUUGUCCUUAUUUCUUUUUCAGGGUGACUUUCAAGUUAAGUUUUUUCCCACUGUUCUGUGAUCAAAAUAUGAGGGGAAAAAAAUAAUCUGCUCAUCACAAA
Zonotrichia leucophrys gambelii is the source of this 1203-nucleotide long non-coding RNA. RefSeq lists it as uncharacterized. Lineage: Eukaryota; Metazoa; Chordata; Aves; Passeriformes; Passerellidae. The transcript has 3 exons. The record is from RefSeq and is a predicted model, not a curated record.